GAUGAACGCUGGCGGCGUGCCUAAUACAUGCCAGUCGAGCGAACAGACGAGGAGCUUGCUCCUCUGACGUUAGCGGCGGACGGGUGAGUAACACGUGGAUAACCUACCUAUAAGACUGGGAUAACUUCGGGAAACCGGAGCUAAUACCGGAUAAUAUAUUCAACCGCAUGGUUCAAUAGUUAAAGAGGGUUUUGCUGUCACUUAUAGAUGGAUCCGCGCCGCAUUAGCUAGUUGGUAAGGUAACGGCUUACCAAGGCAACGAUGCGUAGCCGACCUGAGAGGGUGAUCGGCCACACUGGAACUGAGACACGGUCCAGACUCCUACGGGAGGCAGCAGUAGGGAAUCUUCCGCAAUGGGCGAAAGCCUGACGGAGCAACGCCGCGUGAGUGAUGAAGGUCUUCGGAUCGUAAAACUCUGUUAUUAGGGAAGAACAAAUGUGUAAGUAACUAUGCACGUCUUGACGGUACCUAAUCAGAAAGCCACGGCUAACUACGUG
This 497-nucleotide ribosomal RNA is filed under the name uncultured bacterium. RNAcentral describes it as "partial 16S ribosomal RNA". It matches the Rfam family "Bacterial small subunit ribosomal RNA", at positions 28 to 507 of the family's 1533-position model. The record is from RNAcentral.